This 366-nucleotide ribosomal RNA is filed under the name uncultured bacterium. RNAcentral describes it as "partial 16S ribosomal RNA". It matches the Rfam family "Bacterial small subunit ribosomal RNA", at positions 355 to 710 of the family's 1533-position model. The record is from RNAcentral.
UGGGGAAUUUUGGACAAUGGGGGAAACCCUGAUCCAGCCAUCCCGCGUGUGCGAUGAAGGCCUUCGGGUUGUAAAGCACUUUUGGCAGGAAAGAAACGUCGUGGGUUAAUACCCCGCNAAACUGACGGUACCUGCAGAAUAAGCACCGGCUAACUACGUGCCAGCAGCCGCGGUAAUACGUAGGGUGCAAGCGUUAAUCGGAAUUACUGGGCGUAAAGCGUGCGCAGGCGGUUCGGAAAGAAAGAUGUGAAAUCCCCAGAGCUUAAACUUUUGGAACUGCAUUUUUAACUACCGGGCUAGAGUGUGUCAGAGGGAGGUGGAAUUCCGCGUGUAGCAGUGAAAUGCGUAGAUAUGCGGAGGAACACC